This 484-nucleotide ribosomal RNA is filed under the name uncultured bacterium. Its description in RNAcentral is "partial 16S ribosomal RNA". It matches the Rfam family "Bacterial small subunit ribosomal RNA", at positions 29 to 507 of the family's 1533-position model. The record is from RNAcentral.
AUUGAACGCUGGCGGCAGGCCUAACACAUGCAAGUCGAGCGGGGGAAGGGAUCUUGCUCCUGGAGUCAGCGGCGGACGGGUGAGUAAGGCCUAGGAAUCUGCCUGGGAGUGGGGGAUAACGUCCGGAAACGGGCGCUAAUACCGCAUACGUCCUGAGGGAGAAAGUGGGGGAUCUUCGGACCUCACGCUGUCAGAUGAGCCUAGGUCGGAUUAGCUAGUGGGUGGGGUAAAGGCCAACCAAGGCGACGAUCCGUAACGGGUCUGAGAGGAUGAUCAGGCACACUGGAACUGAGACACGGUCCAGACUCCGUCGGGAGGCAGCCGUGGGGCAUGUUCGACACCGGGCGAACGCCUGAUGUAGACAUGCCGCGUGUGUGACGACGGUCUUGGGAUUGUAAAGCACUUUAAGUUGGGAGGAGGGGAAGUCAGUUAAUCCCUUGCUGUUUUGACGUUAACAAAAGAAUAAGCCCCGGCUGACCUCGUG